GAUUUAUUGGGCGUAAAGCGAGCGCAGGCGGUUGCUUAGGUCUGAUGUGAAAGCCUUCGGCUUAACCGAAGAAGUGCAUCGGAAACCGGGCAACUUGAGUGCAGAAGAGGACAGUGGAACUCCAUGUGUAGCGGUGGAAUGCGUAGAUAUAUGGAAGAACACCAGUGGCGAAGGCGGCUGUCUGGUCUGCAACUGACGCUGAGGCUCGAAAGCAUGGGUAGCGAACAGGAUUAGAUACCCUGGUAGUCCAUGCCGUAAACGAUGAGUGCUAGGUGUUGGAGGGUUUCCGCCCUUCAGUGCCGGAGCUAACGCAUUAAGCACUCCGCCUGGGGAGUACGACCGCAAGGGUGAAACUCAAAGGAAUUGACGGGGGCCCGCACAAGCGGUGGAGCAUGUGGUUUAAUUCGAAGCUACGCGAAGAACCUUACCAGGUCUUGACAUCUUGCGCUAACCUUAGAGAUAAGGCGUUCCCUUCGGGGACGCAAUGACAGGUGGUGCAUGGUCGUCGUCAGCUCGUGUCGUGAGAUGUCGGGUUAAGUCCCGCAACGAGCGCAACCCUUGUUACUAGUUGCCAGCAUUAAGUUGGGCACUCUAGUGAGACUGCCGGUGACAAACCGGAGGAACGGUGGGGACGACGUCAGAUCAUCAUGCCCCUUAUGACCUGGGCUACACACGUGCUACAAUGGACGGUACAACGAGUCGCAAGCUCGCGAGAGUAAGCUAAUCUCUUAAAGCCGUUCUCAGUUCGGACUGUAGGCUGCAACUCGCCUACACGAAGUCGGAAUCGCUAGUAAUCGCGGAUCAGCAUGCCGCGGUGAAUACGUUCCCGGGCCUUGCACUCACCGCCCGU
This 850-nucleotide ribosomal RNA is filed under the name uncultured Bacillota bacterium. RNAcentral describes it as "bacterial SSU rRNA". It matches the Rfam family "Bacterial small subunit ribosomal RNA", at positions 548 to 1397 of the family's 1533-position model. The record is from RNAcentral. Lineage: Bacteria; Bacillati; Bacillota.